GAAUUUACAAAAUUCCAGGAAAAAGGCCACAGCUGGGGGCAGUAGCAGUGGUCGAAAUCCGUACCUCUUUAGUAUGGAAUUGUGUGUGGGCAGUUUUUUGAUCUUGGCUGCCAGUUUGUUGGUAAGCAGUGAUGG
This 135-nucleotide non-coding RNA is filed under the name uncultured Entomoneis. The record is from RNAcentral. Lineage: Eukaryota; Bacillariophyta; Bacillariophyceae; Surirellales; Surirellaceae.